This 460-nucleotide ribosomal RNA is filed under the name uncultured bacterium. RNAcentral's name for it is "partial 16S ribosomal RNA". It matches the Rfam family "Bacterial small subunit ribosomal RNA", at positions 338 to 795 of the family's 1533-position model. The record is from RNAcentral.
CCUACGGGAGGCAGCAGUGAGGAAUAUUGGUCAAUGGGCGGGAGCCUGAACCAGCCAAGUCGCGUGAGGGAAGACGGUCCUAUGGAUUGUAAACCUCUUUAGGCGGGGAGCAAUGCCGGGCACGCGUGCCCGGAGGGAGAGUACCCGCAGAAUAAGCAUCGUCUAACUCCGUGCCAGCAGCCGCGGUACUACGGAGGAUGCGAGCGUUAUUCGGAUUUAUUGGGUUUACAGGGUGCGUAGGCGGAUUUUUAAGACAGCGGUAAAAUGUCCGGGCUCAACCCGGGCCGGCCGUUGAUACUGGGGAGCUUGAGUGGGCGAGAAGUAUGCGGAAUGCGUGGUGUAGCGGUGAAAUGCAUAGAUAUCACGCAGAACUCCGAUUGCGAAGGCAGCAUACCGGCGCCCGACUGACGCUGAGGCACGAAAGCGUGGGGAUCGAACAGGAUUAGAUACCCCUGUAGUC